Long non-coding RNA from Diachasmimorpha longicaudata, 1449 nucleotides. RefSeq lists it as uncharacterized. The transcript has 4 exons. The record is from RefSeq and is a predicted model, not a curated record. Lineage: Eukaryota; Metazoa; Arthropoda; Insecta; Hymenoptera; Braconidae.
CUGAAUAUCGUGAUUGCAAUUGAAUACAUGAAAUUCUUAUGAGCCGGAUUGAAUUAAUUUCAAAUGUAGAGAUAUUCUUCGCCAUCGGCGAUUUCAUGCUCGAGUGAAUUCUGGUAAUUACGUGGAAUCUAUUUCAAGCGCGCAAGGCCUCCGUCGACGAGCAAAAUGUUAUGGUUUUCCGGUUGUAAGAAAAGGAGAUGGAAAUUACAUGAGAGAUAACAUUCAACUUGGAACAAAAGAGACAAGGAAAUUUAAGUGAUAUUCAGACACCCAGUGGUUAUCGCGGUGUAUCGAACUGUUUGUGAGUGGGAGAGAAGGACAUCGUUAAACAUCACCCAGGUUAAUUAUCUCGGUAAUUGCCCGGUGAUCUUGGAACUUACCCAAAGAGCUCGUAACCAGCAUCACAGGUGUAAGACGCUAUUGUACCAGGUGACAGAGAAUCGUCUGACAGUGAUACUUUAGAGUUCAUUGGCACCGCUGGGUGACCGCAUUUUGUUGCUGGAAUUGAAGAUAUGGGGACUUGGAUGAGCAUCUUAGCAGAAAAAAUCCCCAGAAAUUGUAUUUUGUUCUUAAACAAACACCUCCACCGGUGGCACUGCGCCACCUUCCUCGCAAUUCAAUAAACAAAGGAGGAAAGCAGAAAACGUGAACAGAGUUAAUUGAAACGGAUCUCGAAUGAGUUAUUUCUGAGGUAUACACCACAUGGGAUUUCUCAAUCCAUUGUCUCUCUAGGCAAGGUAAAAGGUGCACCACCCUCAGCAGUGCUAAAGUAUCGCUGAAACCGUUACGAAAUCGACGACGUCCGUUCGGUAUCUAUCUAACACCGGAGAGAAAGAAAAUUGUUAUGAAAUCACCGGAAUUUGCACAUUUAUAAGAGAAUACAUCCCGAAACAAGACGAGAAACAAUUUGCUGACAGACAAAAACAAGACAGGGAAACCGGUUCAGUUUCGAUCGAUUCAGCGGCAAAAGUGGUGAUUGCUUCCGGGAUAGAAGCCAACAAAAAUAUUAAUAUGUGGAGUAGCAACGGACAGUGCUGAUCAGCCCAGGAGUUACAGUAUCCAAGAGAUUCUAUAAGGUUACGCUUGCCUUAACCGUUAAUCCACCUCAAGCUGUUUCACCGUCUUUUUCUACUGCGUCCCAUAUAGAUCACCUCCUCCUCCACUGUCGCCGGACUCAUGAAACACUCGUUUCCCUCGCAGAGUCGCCUCCACCGCCUCCAUUACGAUCUGUUCCCCCGUCUGUCCCCGUCUUUUUCUACUCACUUGUUGUGAUUUCUGGUCUGUUUUAUUCUACACUGAGUUUGUUGUGCAUCAGAAAUUGUCUGACGUCAUGCCAAGCCCCUUUCACCUGAGGAAGGUACGUGCAGACGGGAGAGGAGUGAUUCUCGAUGAUGUUUAUGGGGUUUUCAGAGUCCAGAUGAUUAAUUAACGCGCGGUAAAUGGAGUCUU